RNAcentral lists this long non-coding RNA (1773 nucleotides) under Manacus vitellinus (golden-collared manakin). Its description in RNAcentral is "lncRNA (ENSMVIG00005010381.1)". The record is from RNAcentral. Lineage: Eukaryota; Metazoa; Chordata; Aves; Passeriformes; Pipridae.
CAGAGAUUUAGGAGCUCAUUUCAUUUGAUCUGGCUUGUUAAUUCCCAAUCAAGUGCUGAUUAGAGGCCACGGGGCAGAGCUGGAAACGCACUCACAGGUUCCUCAGUGAGUCCUUGGUGUGGUCCUUGAGGGGGGCAGAAGCUCCUGAGAAGGCUCAGGCUGUAACUGCACCUCGUGGCAUUGGGAAAGGGAAACUGGGAAUUACUGAACAGACAGAUUCGACCAAAAGGAGGGAUUUAAUAGGAUUCAACAUAUACAGACAAUGGAGCAGAGCAAAGGGCUCCUGUGCCCACCAGCUGCACCCCCAGAGCUGCUCCCCUGGCCUGGGGCAGGACCGUUGGAUUCCUCAGGGACUCAUCCCGUGUGUCCCAGUGAAGAGCCGGGAGCUGCAGGGAUUCAAGAGCUUCCCCAGGCUCCCCUCAGGUGACAUCCCCAGCUCUGGAGCUGUUUGUGAGGGGACAAGGAGGAGCUGCAGGGGGGACACGUCGUGGCCAGCUCCAGCUCCAGCUCCAGAGGGGGAAGCUCCGGCCGCGGCGCAGGAACAUCCAGCUCCGGAUGGGCAAGAAGGGAUUCACUCCUUCAGGAUUCACCGUCGGCUGCUGGACCUCGGUGGGACCUGGGAGCUCUCGGCGCCCCGGCCACGGAACCCCGCGGCUGUGACCUCCUCCAGGAAGCUGCCGGGAAAGGCUCAGGUCAGUGGGAAAAGGGCCAACUGCCCCCCCACCCUGGGCCUUUGGACCCCACCAGGACCUGCUCCUCAGCCCCAGAGCUGAGACACAGCCCCAGCAACACUGGGACGGGGGCAGAGAGGCGUGGAAUCAGGGAAUUGUUUAGGUUGGAAAAGCCCUCUGAGCUCAUAGAAUUCAGCUGUCAACCCAACACUGCCAAGGCCACCACUGACUCGUGUCCCCACGUGCCACAUCCACGUGGUUUUGAGCAAUUCCAGGGAUGGGGGACUCCACCACUGCUCUGGGCAGCCCUUUCAGUGAAGGAAUUUUCCCCAAUAUCCAAACUAAACCUCUCCUGGUGCAACUCGGGGCUGUUUCCUCUGGUCCUGUCACUUCUCCACACGCAGUGACAGUGGCAAAGGGGUGACCUGCCCAUGACACUGUGAUCCAACAACAGGUCACCCCUGCCUGACCCACUCCUGUGGCUGUCCUGGGACAGCUGAAGGCAGGAAACACUAAUCCAAGGGUAAAUUCCAAGCUCCCAAAGCCAGGAAUGCUCCCAGCCAGGAAGAUGCUGCUGGAGGACGGUUCCUCUGGCAAUGAGACACCACAGCCGUUCCCAGGCUGACUCAUCCCCUCAAUGUGCUGAUCAGGUGAUCUCAACAGUAAUGCUUAAAAAAAAAAAAUCCCAAAAAGGAUAAAGAAAUACAAACUAGGAUAUGCCACGAAUCCUACAGAAACGGGAUUUCCCUAAACUGGGUCUGGAGCAGCUCUUCCUGCCCAGGUUGGGAAUCCUGAGGGGUUUGAAAAAUAAUAAGACCCUAAAAUCUCAAGCAAAGCCCUGCACCAAGGCCCAGCUCUGAGCUCCAUGGGACACAGCUGGAAGGGGCACAGACAGGACACUGUCCCCUGGCUCCACCUGGCUUUGUGUUCCAGCCCCAGCUCUCUCUCCUCCAGGUUAUUUUUAGGCAUUGGAGCCAGGCAGAACUGAGCUGUGGCAGGGAAUGACUCGGUUUUUGGGGAACCUCCCGGUUCUGUGCUGUCCAGAGCAGGUUGUGCACAUGGUCAGGGUCCCCUCGGGGUCCCCUCAGGCCUCUCUGAGCAU